AUAGAUACCCAGGUAGUCCACGCCGUAAACGAUGAAUACUAGGUGUAGGAGGUAUCAACUCCUUCUGUGCCGCAGUUAACACAAUAAGUAUUCCGCCUGGGAAGUACGAUCGCAAGAUUAAAACUCAAAGGAAUUGACGGGGGCCCGCACAAGCAGCGGAGCAUGUGGUUUAAUUCGAAGCAACGCGAAGAACCUUACCUGGACUUGACAUCCCCUGCAUAGUGCAGAGAUGCAUGAAGCCCUUCGGGGCAGGGAGACAGGUGGUGCAUGGUUGUCGUCAGCUCGUGUCGUGAGAUGUUAGGUUAAGUCCUGCAACGAGCGCAACCCCUGUUGUUAGUUGCUAACAUUUAGUUGAGCACUCUAGCAAGACUGCCGCGGUUAACGCGGAGGAAGGUGGGGAUGACGUCAAAUCAUCAUGCCCCUUAUGUCCAGGGCAACACACGUGCUACAAUGGGCAGUACAGAGAGAUGCAAGACCGCGAGGUGGAGCAAACCUACAAAAACUCGCCCCCAGUUCGGU
RNAcentral lists this ribosomal RNA (519 nucleotides) under uncultured bacterium. Its description in RNAcentral is "bacterial SSU rRNA". It matches the Rfam family "Bacterial small subunit ribosomal RNA", at positions 778 to 1297 of the family's 1533-position model. The record is from RNAcentral.